AGGUGUGAUGGAGAAGAAGUUUUCAGUGGUGUGCAAUACAUUGUACAGAAGGAUUAAGCACUUCAUGGAAGCACUGUCAGAACUAGAAGAAUACUUGGUAUACACAAGUGGAUUUUCCUGAAAGCUCUAAUGGCAUGAACGGUUUCUAAUAAUGGGAAUGUCAGGCAUCCUGAUGACAGAUUUCCUGGCAACUGUAGUGCAACAGAUAGAGAGAUGGUUGAAUGCUGCUUCUCAGUUGAAGGAAAAUGGCCAAAAAAUGUAGGAACAAAUGCUUUUAGCUUAUUGAGUGAUGAGUUGGAACACUUUGUCAGUGCUGCCUGACAUGUGGAUGAUCUGUAACUGGAAGGAAGUGUAACACCUGAAGAGUUUUUGUGACUUGGAGUGGGAUGCCAUGCUUUUAAAAGCCUGCUGAAACAGCUGCUGCAAUUUUGUUUAGUAGAUACUGUUUUCAGAAACUGCGUGUGAACUAAAAUCACUGUCUCUGCAUAUUUAAAAUAGCACUUUUCCCGAACAUUGAGCUGCCCUCUGUAGGAAGGAUAGCAGCAAUAUUAGGGAAAUGUGUUGAGCUUCAACACAUGAAAAAACCGUGAGAGUAUUUGGUGUUUUAAAAUAUCAUAAGGGCAUACAGACUUGCUGAUACUGAAGAUCUGUAAUAACUCAAAACAGUGGAACUGACAGGUAGGCCCUGUAAAGAUGGGGAGAAAGCAAAAUGGGUACACAUUCAAACCAAUGAGUCUGCUUUUGGAGGGUGGUGUCCUCCAGGAGAUAGGAGGGAGUAGAUGAGGUGAUGGUGGUAUGGAAGCAUAAACAUGAAACACUUGUAAGAAAGAAAUUCAGGUGUUGUGAGGAAAGUCAUGGUUACAGAAAAGGCAAGGUCUAAAGCUUGCAUUGCUGUCUGUAUCUAGUGAGGGAGAGAGGAAUUGGGGUUUUAUGGGCUGCAACUUUAGCAUGAAAAGAUGAGUACCACAACAGUGGAACUGCCCUUUGAGGAAUACGCUGUCAAUGUUACCUGCUUGCUGUGUGGGGAAAAAGGUCAGUAGUGGGAGAAGGGAGUACACUCAUUGCAAGUUGUGCUUUGAGCAGUCACUUGAAAACUAAUGGUGCUGUAUCACAGUAACAGCGUAUUUGCUGUAUUCGGCAAACUGGCAGUCUUCCAUAGAGGAAUGAGGGAUCAUAAAUUGGUCACCAAGUAAAUUGGAUUUUAAAGACACAUCAUUAUGUAUGUAAGAUGCAAUCUGCCUUAAAGCAUCACUCUCAAACCUAAUUGUCAGGAAUGCUUUAUAAAGGAAGAAACGUGAGAACGGCAUGAUACCUAAAAAUUGCUAGAGCUACAGUUACUGAGUCAUUUCAAAAUGCACCAAAAUACAGAAAAACUACACUAUAGUCUGCUGCAGCCAAAAAUGACAGUGUUGGAUGCAAGUAGCUCUCUUCCUUUGGAGCUUCCUUUGGAGAGUUGGAGGAAUUCCAGUAGCUCAUGGAAUGUGCCUAUUCCUAAAUGACAAAUUCCAUGAAAAGCCCAACUUUCUGUCUAAGCAGUAUCAUGAAGUGCAAAACACUACCAGUAGCAGUGCCUAAAGCAUUGGGAAUGUCAAAACCAAGCAUCCAUCUGACUACUAAAAUGUACGCUAAGGAUCUGACUGAACUCCAGGAGUGUAUUGGCUCACUGAGCAUCUCCUAUGCUUUGGUUAUUGUUAAUAAGCAAUAACCAGGUACUUUGGCUAAAGGCUGCUCCUUUUCAGCAAGCAACUGUGUGUAUCAGUCUAUUGAAUGUAUCGGAAUCUGCAAAAACUUACUACAGAACGGCUUUCCCUUUGUUGCUUUCCACAGGAUUUAUUAUUUCUGUUUAACAGAUGUUACUGAGAAGAGUAGAUAUUUCCAUGUGCCAUGUUUUGUACAUGCUCUUUCUUGAAUAAAGAUGAGGGUGUGAAAAACCUA
Long non-coding RNA from Gymnogyps californianus (California condor), 1935 nucleotides. RefSeq lists it as uncharacterized. The record is from RefSeq and is a predicted model, not a curated record. Lineage: Eukaryota; Metazoa; Chordata; Aves; Accipitriformes; Cathartidae. The transcript has 6 exons.